This is a non-coding RNA of Lactuca sativa (garden lettuce), 864 nucleotides long. Lineage: Eukaryota; Viridiplantae; Streptophyta; Magnoliopsida; Asterales; Asteraceae. The record is from RefSeq and is a predicted model, not a curated record.
UCGGGCAAUGGAUGAAGGCGUAUGAACCCAAGGCAGCAAAGGAACGGAAGCGUCAUUGCAGGUGGAGGAGAAAUCGAUCACCAACUUAGAUUUGGGGGGUUUCGACCCUUGGUUCCUUGCUCGUCGCAGGCCAAAAAGGGGACCGAGGGUGGUUUCGGCGAUUUCAGAUCGCAGUAAGGGAGGAGUCUCUGGGUCGGCUAGAACGAAGGAAGAAGAAGAAUGGAGCAGCAAACUGCCGUCGAUUCUCAAUGGGUGAAGCUGUGAGGAGGUGAGCGCCUCCGACGUUCGAAUGGUCCGAAGAAAAGAGAAGGGACGAAACAGCGAGGCUGCUCUCCUUCUCCGAUGUUGAGGUGUGAAGAAGGGAAAGGGAGGCCAGAAGGGUUUCUUCGGUCUCGGUAGGUGCAGCAAGGGCUGCUCAAGCAGUUCCCAGCUGUUUCUCCUUCGAUUCCGGUAGCGGAUGCGAAGGGGAGGAGGACAUUUGGCCCGAUGGAACAAGGCAAGUAGAAACAGCAGCUCCGGUGGGGGUUUUUGGCAGCGGUGCUCGAUAGAAGAAGAACGAAGCUGCGGUGGUCGACCGAAGUGCAGAUCGGAGUUGUAGGGCGGCAAUGGGACGCCUCGGGUUGUGGCAGUCGGCGUUUCCGACUGCUUUUUCGAGGUGUACAUGAGAUCAAGAACAAAGUGUUCUUGGCUGAAAAACAAAGGUGUAGGCAGAAGGGUCGAUCAACGUGGGGUGUUUGUUUGACAGUAAUUGAUAAAUGGAAUGGACGAUUGUGUUGCUUGAUUUUAUCAUUAUUAGUUUGUAGUUGAGUUUGAGUGUUCACUUUAGCAUUGUACAAGUUUUGUUUGAGUGUAAUUGUUAGAUAA